Molecule: long non-coding RNA, 346 nt
Organism: Gopherus flavomarginatus (Mexican gopher tortoise)
Lineage: Eukaryota; Metazoa; Chordata; Testudines; Testudinidae
Exons: 2
Source: RefSeq, a predicted model, not a curated record
GUAUGCUUGUGUUCAUUUGGGAUAAAAUGUGCUUUGCAGGGUGCUUAUGCAUAGGGAAGCACACUGUGCCUCACCAGCCUAGGAACAUUCUAGAGAAGGCCAGGGGGAAAGGGGGGAUCUCAACCUGUGGAAUGGAGAACUAUGAGCAUGUGAUAAAUAAACCCAUAUAUGGAAAGGUUAAAUCUGAUUGGUUAGAGGUUUAUAUUAGGUAACUUAACUUGUUAUGUAAGUGCCAUGUGCUAUAAAAUAGCAAGGGGAAGGGUCCUUGUUGGAGGGGACUCUGCCUGAUUCUUUGUACCAGGGGCUCUCCUUGUGCACAUAUUGAAUAAAGCCUUGUUGAAUUGAA